Molecule: ribosomal RNA, 250 nt
Filed under: uncultured bacterium
Lineage: Bacteria
Description: partial 16S ribosomal RNA
Rfam family: Bacterial small subunit ribosomal RNA
Source: RNAcentral
UAGGGAAUAUUGCACAAUGGGCGAAAGCCUGAUGCAGCAACGCCGCGUGUGCGAAGAAGGCCUUCGGGUCGUAAAGCACUUUUCUGGGAGAUGAGAAAGGACAGUAUCCCAGGAAUAAGUCUCGGCUAACUACGUGCCAGCAGCCGCGGUAAAACGUAGGAGGCGAGCGUUAUCCGGAUUCACUGGGCGUAAAGCGCGUGCAGGCGGUUUGGUAAGUUGGGCGUGAAAGCUCCCGGCUCAACUGGGAGAG